GAACGCUGGCGGCGUGCCUAAUACAUGCAAGUCGAACGAACUCUGGUAUUGAUUGGUGCUUGCAUCAUGAUUUACAUUUGAGUGAGUGGCGAACUGGUGAGUAACACGUGGGAAACCUGCCCAGAAGCGGGGGAUAACACCUGGAAACAGAUGCUAAUACCGCAUAACAACUUGGACCGCAUGGUCCGAGCUUGAAAGAUGGCUUCGGCUAUCACUUUUGGAUGGUCCCGCGGCGUAUUAGCUAGAUGGUGGGGUAACGGCUCACCAUGGCAAUGAUACGUAGCCGACCUGAGAGGGUAAUCGGCCACAUUGGGACUGAGACACGGCCCAAACUCCUACGGGAGGCAGCAGUAGGGAAUCUUCCACAAUGGACGAAAGUCUGAUGGAGCAACGCCGCGUGAGUGAAGAAGGGUUUCGGCUCGUAAAACUCUGUUGUUAAAGAAGAACAUAUCUGAGAGUAACUGUUCAGGUAUUGACGGUAUUUAACCAGAAAGCCACGGCUAACUACGUGCCAGCAGCCGCGGUAAUACGUAGGUGGCAAGCGUUGUCCGGAUUUAUUGGGCGUAAAGCGAGCGCAGGCGGUUUUUUAAGUCUGAUGUGAAAGCCUUCGGCUCAACCGAAGAAGUGCAUCGGAAACUGGGAAACUUGAGUGCAGAAGAGGACAGUGGAACUCCAUGUGUAGCGGUGAAAUGCGUAGAUAUAUGGAAGAACACCAGUGGCGAAGGCGGCUGUCUGGUCUGUAACUGACGCUGAGGCUCGAAAGUAUGGGUAGCAAACAGGAUUAGAUACCCUGGUAGUCCAUACCGUAAACGAUGAAUGCUAAGUGUUGGAGGGUUUCCGCCCUUCAGUGCUGCAGCUAACGCAUUAAGCAUUCCGCCUGGGGAGUACGGCCGCAAGGCUGAAACUCAAAGGAAUUGACGGGGGCCCGCACAAGCGGUGGAGCAUGUGGUUUAAUUCGAAGCUACGCGAAGAACCUUACCAGGUCUUGACAUACUAUGCAAAUCUAAGAGAUUAGACGUUCCCUUCGGGGACAUGGAUACAGGUGGUGCAUGGUUGUCGUCAGCUCGUGUCGUGAGAUGUUGGGUUAAGUCCCGCAACGAGCGCAACCCUUAUUAUCAGUUGCCAGCAUUAAGUUGGGCACUCUGGUGAGACUGCCGGUGACAAACCGGAGGAAGGUGGGGAUGACGUCAAAUCAUCAUGCCCCUUAUGACCUGGGCUACACACGUGCUACAAUGGAUGGUACAACGAGUUGCGAACUCGCGAGAGUAAGCUAAUCUCUUAAAGCCAUUCUCAGUUCGGAUUGUAGGCUGCAACUCGCCUACAUGAAGUCGGAAUCGCUAGUAAUCGCGGAUCAGCAUGCCGCGGUGAAUACGUUCCCGGGCCUUGUACACACCGCCCGUCACACCAUGAGAGUUUGUAACACCCAAAGUCGGUGGGGUAACCUUUUAGGAACCAGCC
Molecule: ribosomal RNA, 1458 nt
Filed under: Lactiplantibacillus plantarum
Lineage: Bacteria; Bacillati; Bacillota; Bacilli; Lactobacillales; Lactobacillaceae
Description: bacterial SSU rRNA
Rfam family: Bacterial small subunit ribosomal RNA
Source: RNAcentral